ACGUAGGGUGCGAGCGUUAAUCGGAAUUACUGGGCGUAAAGCGUGCGCAGGCGGUGAUGUAAGACCGAUGUGAAAUCCCCGGGCUUAACCUGGGAACUGCAUUGGUGACUGCAUUGCUGGAGUAUGGCAGAGGGGGGUGGAAUUCCACGUGUAGCAGUGAAAUGCGUAGAGAUGUGGAGGAACACCGAUGGCGAAGGCAGCCCCCUGGGCCAAUACUGACGCUCAUGCACGAAAGCGUGGGGAGCAAACAGGA
Molecule: ribosomal RNA, 253 nt
Filed under: uncultured prokaryote
Description: partial 16S ribosomal RNA
Rfam family: Bacterial small subunit ribosomal RNA
Source: RNAcentral